Molecule: non-coding RNA, 258 nt
Organism: Pelobates cultripes (western spadefoot toad)
Lineage: Eukaryota; Metazoa; Chordata; Amphibia; Anura; Pelobatidae
Source: the annotation of a GenBank genome assembly
UGUGUGUGUGUCAGUAUGGAUCAAUGUGUGUGUGUGUGUGUCAGUAUGGAUUAAUGUGUCAGUAUGGAUUAAUGUGUCAGUGUGUGUGUGUCAGUAUGGAUCAAUGUGUCAGUAUGGAUCAAUGUGUGUGUGUGUGUGUGUCAGUAUGGAUCAAUGUGUCAGUAUGGAUCAAUGUGUGUGUGUGUGUGUCGGUAUGGAUCAAUGUGUGUGUGUGUCAAUAUGGAUCAAUGUGUCAGUAUGGAUCAAUGUGUGUGUGUG